This 11077-nucleotide long non-coding RNA is filed under the name Nicotiana benthamiana. RNAcentral describes it as "long non-coding RNA (NBEN_LNC031912)". Lineage: Eukaryota; Viridiplantae; Streptophyta; Magnoliopsida; Solanales; Solanaceae. The record is from RNAcentral.
UAUUAGCGGUGUGAGCCGCAUCCCGGAAUCUAUAUUUCUUUUCGGAUGAAACACUAUUUGGCUUCGUUUUGCUAGUUAUUUUUUGUGGAAGAAUUUGUUGUGGCAACUGCUGCGGCAGAAUAAUUGGCUUGAUUUGUUUGAUUGGUUGACCUGGCAAGCAAAUGUGUUUUGUCCAUUCGAAACUGGUCCGAGGUGUUUUCCUAUAGCUGCUAAUGCAGUCUCUCUCUCUCUCUCUCUCUCUCUCUUUUUGGGCUAGCACUAUAGGUUUCCUAUAGCUACUUCUACUGUUAAGGUUUUUUUAUUGGGUUUUGAGAACCAAUUUGACCUUUUGUCAGCACCAUAGCAGUGCGGAUCAGGAUUUAUCUAUCUAAUCUCCAUAGCAACAUCAGCCCUCUUGAUUUUUACACAGUUGUUCUGCCUUCUAGUUUUUUCAGCUCGUAACUGUUUCAGCUCAGUGUUGUCAAAGGCGCACUUAAGCCCAUAAGCGAGGCGCAAAGCAUGUUGAGCGCUUCACCUCGCUUAAUGGACCUUAGAGCCUUUUUCCCUUUUUUUGGCUUUUAUAACACUGUUUCAGAUAUAUGUCGUGGCUUUUCAGUUUUUGGAUGUGUCUAUACUAUGUCAAUUUUUUCAUGACAAUACUCAACCUGUUAAAUCUGUCCUCUUGGUUUUGGAACAGUUUGGCCUACUUUCUGGUUUAUUUACUUUAUUCCUCUGUAUCAAAUUCAGUGUUUGAGGUUUCCAGAUUUUGGCUGUAUCUAUGCAAUGCCAUUCUUUUCAAAACAGAUACUCUCCCCAUUCAUCUUUGAACCCGCUUUCACAUGUUGCAGUCUGAUCAUUUAGCAUAUAGCAUGGCAAUUCAUCCUAUCAAUAUUCAGAGAGCAUACUUUCUGAUCCGCGUUGUUAACUGUGCUGUUGUUUAUAUGCAUCAACACUUAUUUUAAACAAGCUGAGUGGUGACCUACGGUCCCUUAAUCCGAAAAAAUGCAUCUCCAAGCUCAUUUGUUUACCUAUAUAUGCUCAAACUUUCUGCCCCUUUUCUUUUUUAAGGUGCAGAAAAAUGUUUACUUGUUUUAGGUUCAUGUUACAAUCAAGUGACAAGCUAUACCUAUCAUUUUGGAGGGGAAAACAUCAAUUUGUCAUUUUUAUUAAGAAUUUUUUCCUUAAAAUUUUUACUAACAUAAUCCUCUAUUGUGCACCUUAUUAAAAAGAUCCUCUGUAAUUCAUUAUAUUUUUCUAAAAAGUGCUAAUAUAUCCCUAUAGUACUAAAUCUAGAACAGGAAAGUGAAUUUUCCCUGUCGAAUUCUUGUAUUCUUUUGGAAACGAUAUUAAUAUGAGAUAUGACGUGUUAGGAGAACUUUGUUAAAAUGGUUCUCAAGGUUAACACAGCUAGCAAACAGUAAUUGUUGUGGUCCUUAUUUUGAAAACUAGUAGGAAGAUCCCUCAAGUGAUAAGCUAGAGGGAGACAGUUAUAACCUGGACUGCUGGAAGAAAGAGAAGCCUAUUUCAUUUAACUUGCUAUGCACCAUUAGAUGCUAAGUUUGUCUAUUAUGAAAACUGAAUGAAGCAUCCAGUGGCAUGUAUAUAGUACUGAUUCAUUUAUCUUCCAGUUCAUGCAAUGUCUCAUGUUUUAUAUAUCAGACUGGGAAUAUUUCUCUGAUGCAUCAGAUGUGGUAUGUAAUGCACUAAAGUUCUCAAUAGAAAAUUAAUAUCAUGUUUCUGCCUUGCAGGGUGCGACAUGGCAGCAACAUCAGCAACUACUUUCUCAGUUGGCUCAGCCACAUCUCUGGGCUGCAAAGGAAGCUCAGUAUCGCAAUCAAAAGCCAUUGGUGUGAAAUUCAACUCCAAAAACAACCUUAGAAGUUUCAGCGGUUUGAAGGCUGCCACAACUGUAAGCUGUGAAUCAGAAUCGUCCUUUUUAGGAAAAGAAAGUGUUGCCGUCCUUAAACAAUCUAUUACUCCAAAGGCUCAAAAAGAAAACAAGGUAUGUGGGAACUGUGUUCAGCCUCAAGCAUCUUACAAAGUAGCCGUUCUUGGAGCGAGCGGCGGUAUAGGCCAGCCCCUGUCUCUUCUGGUCAAGAUGUCACCGUUAGUUUCAGAGCUGAACCUUUAUGAUAUAGCUAAUGUUAAAGGAGUUGCGGCUGAUCUCAGUCACUGCAACACUCCCUCCAAGGUUUCAGAUUUCACUGGAGCUUCUGAAUUGGCCAACUGUUUGAAAGGUGUAAAUGUGGUGGUCAUACCUGCUGGUGUUCCAAGAAAGCCAGGUAUGACACGUGAUGACCUGUUCAACAUUAAUGCAAACAUCGUGAAGACAUUGGUUGAGGCUGUUGCUGAUAAUUGCCCUGAUGCAUUUAUCCACAUCAUUAGCAAUCCAGUCAACUCCACAGUGCCAAUUGCAGCAGAGGUGUUGAAGCGAAAGGGUGUUUAUGAUCCUAAAAAACUUUUUGGUGUUACCACCCUAGAUGUAGUCAGGGCAAAUACAUUUGUCGCUCAGAAGAAAAAUUUGAGGCUUAUUGACGUAGAUGUCCACAUUUGUCUCUCAGAAGAAAAAUUUGAGGCUUAUUGACGUAGAUGUCCCAGUUGUGGGUGGCCAUGCCGGUAUCACCAUUUUGCCUUUGCUAUCAAAGACGAAACCAUCAACUACUUUCACUGAUGAAGAAGUACAGGAGCUAACUGUGAGGAUUCAAAAUGCUGGCACAGAAGUUGUGGAGGCAAAGGCUGGUGCAGGGUCUGCUACACUGGAAACUCAAGGGGAAACUACUUUCACUGAUGAAGAAGUACAGGAGCUAACUGUGAGGAUUCAAAAUGCUGGCACAGAAGUUGUGGAGGCAAAGGCUGGUGCAGGGUCUGCUACACUUUCCAUGGCGUACGCAGCAGCAAGAUUUGUUGAGUCCUCGCUGCGCGCACUUGAUGGAGAUAGUGAUGUGUAUGAGUGUGCUUUUGUCCAGUCUGACCUAACAGAGCUUCCAUUCUUUGCUUCAAGGAUUAAACUAGGAAAAAACGGGGUUGAGGCUUUGAUUCCAUCUGACCUUCAAGGUUUGACUGAGUAUGAACAGAAAGCUCUGGAUGCUUUAAAGCCAGAACUGAAAGCUAGCAUCGAGAAGGGUAUAGGUUUCGUUAUGAAGGAACCUGUAGCCGCUUAGAAUAUAUUACAGCUGAAGAAAUGAUGACAGGAAUAAAGUAAUUUAGCGGAAUUCAUGUAUGAGCAAUUCCAGUUUUGCAGGUGAGCUGAAAAGUGCUUCUGUGACCGAGAAAAAAAACAGUAGUAUUGUAAAAUUGUUUCCUCUGCGGUAUGUAACUCUAAUUGACGUCGUUGAGGCACUCUUGUCAUGUUCUUUCUUUCUCGUUAAACCAAGUCUUUUAUCUCUCUAUAAUCUGAGCGUGUCGUUGAGCUGGCUGUGUGAUGAAAUGCGGGAAUUCUAAAUUUAUUUAUGCUAAAAAUUUAGGAAUACAGUUAUUCACUUGCUUCCACAAAUUUUAGCUUGUUAUGGUAAAUCUUAUCACCGAGCACCUUCUCAAUGUUUGUCCUUGUAGUGGUUGUUUGGUACACGGAUAAUAAUUUCAGGAAAGAAUUUGAGAUUGUAUUUAUCCUAUGUUUGGUUAUAGGUAUUAGCUAAUUUUGAGAUAAAUUUUACACUAAAAUGGUGGAAUUAGUUAUUCUAAAUAGAAGGUGGGACGGGUAAUCCCACCAUUGAGGUCAAAUUUUUUUCUUUUGUGGAAAAUGUAAUUGUUUGGCAGUGCGGAGCAUUUGAUUGAUUCAGUUGUUUACUUCUUCAAGAUAAUCAUGUUGUUAGACAUAUUUAACAAUAUAUAAAUUUCGCUAAAUAGAAAGCCAAUUCUCUCAAAACCUCAUAAAAUAAAUCCCGCCAACACAAGCAAUAAUUAGAUAAAGAUAAAGGGGAUGAGGAUGAUCCUAAACUUCAAGUGAACGGCAGGUUCACAUGGAUGCAAAUUCUCCACCCUUGAGCUCCGGAUGCAUAACAUUCUUAUACCAGUGUAAUCCCAUAAGUGAGGUCCCAUAAGCGAGGUCAGAAUGCAUAACAUUCUUGAGUUCGGUUAAAUCAUAUCAGAAUUUUCAGUUCACUCAUUAUUCUGCGACGCUUUCCAACCUUCUUGGUGAUGUAUCCGAACAGACAUUCACUUUUCGUUUCUUAGGUUUCACCUUCAUCAAGAACCAUUUGAUCGAUAGUUUUGACUUUGAUAAGAAAUUAAGAAUGCCUUUGAGAUUCAAUCAUAAAUUACUUUGCCUCGGUUCUAUGUGACAGUCCUCCUUCACUCCCCACCCCUUAAAGUAUGUUUUAACUCAAAUAUUUGACAGGGAAUCUGGGAUCAAAGUUUACUUACACUCUUCUAGCUUCUUCUAUUAUGAUUUUCACAACUUUUGAAAUUAUGUCAGAAAAACUAUUGUGGGAUUUCGACUCCUUCACUCUUCUGCUCUGAUUUUCUUGACUUGUGAAAUUAUAAAUAAAUAAAUCGCGGGGCAAAAAUAAUGCUCUCAGCCAGUAAAGGAGGGUAUGCUGCUGCUUCUUUUAGGAAAAAAAAGAAAUUGUCAUCGGUUUAAAGGAGUAAUGGAUUUCAGCUUUUCAACAUAAGCUACUACUUCUAGAAAUACAAGGGAACUCCAGUGUCAAUAAGAAUAAAGACAUAAGAUUUGGCGCGGUGUGGUUGCCUUUGUGGGAUUUUGGUUACAUAAUUUCUUCUCAAGUGAAAAUCAUUCAUUUGAUUGCAGUCACUUUCUUCCUUUAGGCAAAUUCAACAAUUCCAAUGCCUCCAUCCCCCCCCCCCCCCCCCCUUAGUAAUAGCAAAAUCCAACUCCAUCCUGUUAAUUGACAUAAAUUCUUAGAUUCUUCUCUGUGCCAAUGAGUCUAUUUGAAUCUAGCUUCAAGCUGUAUUCAGCAACAAUGGGAUUCUUUCUUUCCUGCACGACCAGAAUUUUCCUGAUGCAUGAUUAAUGCGAGUCUGAUAUUAUCGGGUGUUCUAUCCAAUAACACAUUCAACACCAUUCUCAUCAUCAUUCAAUAGAUCAUCUUUAUAAAGCCCUACUUUCAUUCUGCUCCAUAAUUUACUGGAGGAACAUUUUGCAAUUACCAAUAGUCAUUGCAAGAACAUCGUCCUUCUCUGAAAUGAUGGAAGCGGUUACGAUCUCUAAUAACAACUUCCCUAUUAUAGACUGCUGACAACAUCUUGGCAAAAUUAUGGCAGUCAACACAAAUUCGGAGGUCUUUUGCAAGUCUUAUUGACGUGCCGGGUGGAGUUGAUAGAACCCCAAAAGCAUCAACACAAAUUCGGAGGUCUUUUGCAACUCUUAUUGACGUGCCGGGUGGAGUUGAUAGAACCCCAAAAGCAAUAGCAAAUUUCUCACUGUGAUAAGAUAAUGCAAUCUGCUUCUCUUCCUCACCCACAUUGUGCAACUCUGACAUUGGCUCAGCAACGUAUCCUGCUAUCCUCAGUUGCUGAUUGAUCUCGUCCAACAUCUCAUAAAUCUUAGUCUUUCUUGGAUGGGAAAAGUCAUUUGCAGCGAAUUCAUGUAUUUCCCCCUUGAACUCAAUGGUACUACAAGCAGGGGUAGUUUGGAUUCCCCUCUCUUUCAUUAUUUUUCUCACGUUUAUUACGUUAUCCCAAUCACCAAGCGAUGAAUAAAUAUUCAACAGCAGUACAUAACGAAUUCAUGUAUUUCCCCCUUGAACUCUAUGGUACUACAAGCAGGGUUGGUUUGGAUUCCCCUCUCUUUCAUUAUUUUUCUCACGUUUAUUACCUUAUCCCAAUCACCAAGCGAUGAAUAAAUAUUCAACAGCAGUACAUAAUCUCCGGCUUCUUGUGCUUUAAGUUCAAUCAAAUGCUCAAUGACUUGUUCUCCAAGAUCAGCUUGGCGGUGAAUUCUACAAGCUCCUAGUAGAGUCCUCCAUAUUGUUGCAUCAGGUUUGACCUUCAUUGAACUUAUAAGGUUGUAAGCUUCUUCAACUAAGCCAACACGACCCAUUAGAUCAACCACACACCCAUAGUGAUGAAUGUUUGGAGGAAUCCCAAACUCUUCGCUCAUACGAUUAAAAAACAUCCUACCCUCAUCAAGUAGUCCGGAGUGACUGCAAGCAUUAAGAACCCCAGUGAAAGUCUGAUCAUCAGGGGAAACACCCGAUCUUUGCAUCUCCGAAAAUGCCUCAACUGCAUCUCUGCCAUAACCAUUUCUUGCCAACCCCGAUAUCAUUGCACUCCAAGACACCACAUCUUUCUUGGCAAUUCCCUUAAACACCUCAAAGGCCUUUUCAAUGCAACCACACCGGGAAUACAUAGUUAUAAGUGCAUUACAAAUAUUCAUUGCCUUGUCAAAGCCAUACUCUUCACAAUAUCUAUGAACUCCCUCACCAUAGGCCAACGCAUUCAAAUUUGCACAAGCCUGAAGUAACAACAAACAAGUAACCUCAUCUGGUUGACACUCAGACGAGCUCCGUAUCAUAUCAAAUACGUGCAAAGCAUCCCGAGUGCGUCGGUUACGCAAAUAGCAAGAAAUCAACACGUUCCAAGCUACUGUGUCUCUAUGAGACAUUUCAUCAAACACUUUGCAUGCUUUGCUGUACUUCUCAUUAGAUGAAUAAAAAUCCAUCAAUGUGGUCAGCAGGCGUCCAUCGGAUUGAUGCCCGCCUUUCAAAAUUCGAGCAUGAAUCUGUAGCCCACCAAACAAAGACCCAAUCUUUGUACAACAAUUCGUAACGAAUGAAGACGUUAGCGAAUUCGGCGAAACACCUGACCUUAACAUUUCUUGAUAUAACUGAAAACCAUUUAUGGGUGAAUCACUCAUUGCAUAAGCUCUUAUCAUGAUGUUGUACAUGAAAACAGUGGGUUUUUCAUAUUUUAAAAAUAUCCGAAAAGCAUAAGUUAAAUCAUGGAAUGGCGGGAGAGCAACACGAAAUAAGAAAGCUGAGAAAAAAAAUGGACCUUGAAAGAGAGUUUUGCGAAUGAGGUGAGCAUGGAUUUGUAGCAAAUGGGAAUUUUCAGAAGAUGACUUGAUUAACGAAAUCAAACCUUCGGGUUUCUCUGUAUGCAAGUGAAUAGGAGAAUUUGUGGAUGCGGGAUGAAUGCAUUGCGGGUGGUGGUGGUGGUGGUCUACACGCGCCGCCGCAAGAGAAGAGAGAAAGCGGAAGGUGGAUAUAUAAAGACGGCGAUAAGAGAUUUCCCUCAUUCUCUAAUUUGUCUAACGUUUUCACGUCGGAAAUUGGAAAAUACAGCAAAGAUUAUUCUGGGGAUCCAUGGACAUAGCUCAAACCAGAGAGGAGUCUGUUUUUGUUACCAUGGCGGAAUUUUUUUGAAUUGCUGUAACUUUAAAUUUUUUUUUACCACAUUAACCAAAUUUACUAUAGUGCUUAUAUCUCGACUCUAAUCUAUAAGUUGGGAGUUGAAGUAAAAUAAUUGAGGAACAAAUUAUUACCUCAACUCUAAUCUGUAUCAGUAAUAUCUUCAGUUGAGCUAGUUAUUAUUUUCAGAGGUCAAUGAGAUGUAUCUCUUUCAUUUUGCUACUGUGACAUAUAUUUAAAAAAUAUUCUUACAUUAGAAUAAUUAGGCUCCUACUUUUAAAUUCUAUAGUUCAUAUUUAAAUUUACAAUUAAUUAUUUCAAAAAUAAUAGGCUAAGAUUCAACAACCAACUCCAAUAGUUUCUCAAAUUUACUAUUUAACUUAUAAAAAAAGAUUCCUCGGGUUUUUAAAUUAAUUUUCAAAUCAACAACUGUGACUCAAAUAUUAAUUCAACAAACUAAAUUCAUUUGGGUAGUGAAAAUUAAAUUUUUAACAAGCUUAAAUAUGUGGGUUUAAAUUUCGAAUUUAAUUUUGUGAGAAAUUUGAUGUGAGUGUUAUUUCGACUUGUUAGAAAUAGUACAAAGAGGUUGUAUAUAUAAUUUGAAGUCAUUUAAUGGAGAUUUGGAGCGGUUUUGAACAAGAAUUGCAACUGAAAAUCGUGGAAGAAGUUCGUCUACACACGCUUGUAUAAAGUUAUAUAAAAGUGUAUAAUAGUGUAUAAAGUGUGUUUCUAUACUCAUAUACACUAGUAUUAUACAAGAUUAUACAUAAAUUAUACAAAAAUCUGACUUCGUCUUCUUCCUUGCGUCUUUUUUGAAAUUUAACUCAAUUGUUGCCCAAAUUUACUCCAAAUCACUUCAAAUUUAAAAUUUGAAAUCCUUUCGAUAUUUUCAAUCAAUUGGAACAAUACCCAAUCCAAACAACUAACAAAUUAAAAAAAACAUUCUUUAAAGCAAAGCUUUGAAGUCUUUAAUAGUGGACUUCUACACUUUAAUUUUCUUACAUUGCAAGCAGGUGACACAAGAGGAGAAACAGAAAAUAUAUGGCCCCUUGAAGUAUAUGUAGAACACGUGAGAAUAAGAGAGAGUGAAAGCAAUGGGUGUAAGAGCAAAGAAUUAACUCCAUAGCUUUUACAAGCAAUGGUUGUAAGAACACAUUUUUUGAUUUGCAAGUGCUUACAAAAUAUGUACAAUGUGGGUUAGGUGGGGUAAAACUAAAAAGCAUGGGCCAUUUUUAUUAUGAUGUAAAAUCAUGUGUAUUUUCUUGUAAUUCUUUCUUACAAGAAUGGGGACCGAAUACAACAACAAUGUUCGCGUCUUAUAGCAUGUUUGGCCAAGCAUCUUUUUGGCCAAAAGUAUUAUUUUUUUUUUGACAAAAGCACUUUUGGCCAAAACUUGAGAUGUUUGGCCAAACUUUUGGGAGGGAACAAGUAUUUUUAAGGAGAAGUAAAAGCAGUUUGGAGAAGCAGAAAAAAAAUAAUUUUUUUCCAAAAGUACUUUUUUGAAAAAAAAUAUACUUAGAAAUAAUCUAAGUAUAAUAACUUAAAUUUUUUCCUCUAAUUAAUAUAAUCAAAAUAGAUUUCUGUCAAUCUUAUUUGCGUUUUAACUGAAUUAUUUCUUUAUUCAUUGGUUAGUUGCGUAACUAUAUAUAAUAAUCUAAUUUAUCAUUUAGUUUCUCACAUAAAUUAUAAUUCAUCCGUCCCCAUUAAUAUGAAGGCGUUUGACAAGAGGGAUUGCUCUGAUGGUAAACAACCUUCACUUCCAACUAAAAGGUUGUGAGUUCGAGUCUCCCCAAGAGCAAGGUGAGAAGUUAUUGGAGGGAAGAAUGCCGAGGAUAUAUUUGGAAACAACCUCUCUAUCUCAGGGUAGGAGUAAGGUCUGCGUACACACUACCCUCCCCAAACUCUACUAAGUGUAAUUAUAAUGAGUUAUUGUUGUUGUUGUUGUCGUUGUCGUUGUCGUUUGACUAGACAUGAAGUUUAUGAAAUAUAGGAAGAGUUUUGAAACUUGCGAUCUAAAAUAAACCAUAGAACUUGUGUAGCUAGAAAUCAUCUCAUUAAGAGUAAAAAGAAAAAUUUAAAGGUGAAUUAUUACCAAGUAUUAAAAAACGGCUGAUUAAAAAAAAGGUGUUACAUAAGUUGGGGUGGAGGACGAGAAUAAAAACAAGGUUAUAUAUAUAUAUAUAUACUAGAUGGGAAUAGCCCGUGCUUAAGCACGACCCCAACCGUUCUGGUUAUAAUAUUUUUAAAAUUGUUUUGGCGUAAAUAAUGCCUGUCAUACUAUUUUAGUCCGAUAUGACGACAAAAUCACAUUUAUUAUGUAUGUAAACUUUUUGCAUUAGAUGAUAAAAUUCGUGCUUAGAAGAGUCCUGGAUCUGCAGGUACAAUUGCAUAAGCUGACAUAAAUAUGUGAUUAACUGCUAGCUGGCGGCUGCCAUGCAUGUAUCAAAAUGAUUGAUGUAAGAGCAGUUCUUUAAUUCCUCUCACACUGGCCAAUAAUACAACAACAACCCAGUAUAAUCUUAUUUAGUGGAUUUUGGAAAGGGUGAUAUGUACGCAGAAGAUAACUCCUAAAAAUAAGUCACAAUAAUUUUUAUUGAUUUUAGGAAUUUUCUUUUUUUUUUUAGUCACAUUUCAUGCAUUUUUAACAUUUUAAAAUUAAAAUAAUAAAUACCAAAAAUACUUGGCAUUUGCGUUUAGAAUUUAAUUUUACAUUUUAGGAUUAAUUAGUAGUUGAGUUACUUUUAGGAAAAGAAAAAUAACAAAAAUUGUCCUUGUUGCAUUUUUAAUUUUAUUUUGUUUAGUUUGCAUUUAAAUAGGGAGUUUGUGUAAUUGAAAAUUUGAAAGUAUAAUUUUAGAGUCAAUUUGAGUUUAGAUUUUUAAUUUAGCAUUUAAUAAAAUCAAAAAAUAAAAUAUAAAAUAAGUAAAUGAAAUAAAAAAAAGGAAGAUAAAAGAAAUAGGAAGAUAAAAAGAAAUUGGGAAGAACCUUCCCCAAAAUAUUUCUCCCCAAAAAACACUCCUCACGUAACACCUUCCUCAAAUACAACUUCCCACAUAACACUCCAGCCCACACACUUUAUAAAAUCAUUCUCUGCCCAAUGGAAAAAAGGGGGAGGACAACUACAAAACACAUUUCUCUCACGAUGCUUCUUCUUCACCGCCUGCAUCUCUCCCCUCCAAACGACUGGCCAUCAGCAUAACCAGCGUCUUCAUCAUCUCCAAAACAAGCAGCGCUGCCAUCUUCAAAGCAUCAACCAAACGACCCUUGAACCAAACGACCAGGUCAGCCCAUCACUGCUGCCUCCUCGUCCGCCAUUGACGUCUCCCUCACGUCCAGCAGCAACCUCACGUCCAGCAGUUAUGUUUCUUUAUCAACAAAAAUACGACCAUAUGAUUUUGAUUUUCAGUUCUAUCAUGGAUUCAAUUUAAACUUUAAAGUUUUGCUCUUCUGGUUUUUAUGGAAAUCAAUUCAGUUCCGGUUGUGAAGCUUUGUUUGAGUUUGCGACUCGGCGGUUGUUGAAGUUUGUCGCGGUUCUGGCGAGCUCUGAGGUCCCGGUGCAGCUCCGAUUGUCGACUUCCUGUUGAUUGUGAGAAUCAGAUCCGAUUUGUUAGUAGAAUUAUUGAGGUUUGUUUCCUUGUUUCAUUUGGCUUUAGUUAAUUCAUGAAUCUUAGGACUUAUUUUUGGAGGAAUAAAUUUGAGCUUGAAUGAUUGGUAUUUUGAGUGUUCUUUCAUUUGGAUUAUUAACUACCACCUCAUUAUCUCAUUCUGAUUAACAAUCAGUUGUGUCAAAUUA